AUGAAAAAAGAAGAGCGUUGGGAAGCGCAAGAGAAGGAGUGGGAGGCGGUGUUCGCCGAGGCAAGGGAACAGGUGGCCGACGAGGCUAAAGCAGCGAGAGAGCUGCUCGCGGGCGAGGCUAAAGUUGCUGGGGAGCUGCUCGCGGGUGAUGCUAAAGCUGUUGGAGAGCUACUGGCAGGCGAGGCUAAAGAUGCGGGAGAGCUUCUCACCGACGAGGCUAAGCAGGCGAGAGGGAUGCUAGCCGGCGGGGACGAGCUCGAUGGGGCGGUGCUACCGAUGGUGGGCGGUGGUGGAAAGGUUGACGGCAUCUCCGGUAAGCCAACGGUGGCCUGCCUGCCACCGUGUGCCUCCAACGCGUCGGGAUCCGGAGAGAUCCCAAUCAUCUACCUGUCAUCCGACGAGGAAUGA
Molecule: ribosomal RNA, 408 nt
Filed under: Triticum aestivum (bread wheat)
Lineage: Eukaryota; Viridiplantae; Streptophyta; Magnoliopsida; Poales; Poaceae
Description: partial small subunit ribosomal RNA
Source: RNAcentral